This 1191-nucleotide long non-coding RNA is filed under the name Lonchura striata (white-rumped munia). RNAcentral's name for it is "domestica (Bengalese finch) lncRNA (ENSLSDG00000003878.1)". The record is from RNAcentral. Lineage: Eukaryota; Metazoa; Chordata; Aves; Passeriformes; Estrildidae.
CCUCUCCCCCUCCCUGUCCUGCCAGGCAGGAGGUCUAGCCGAGUGUCCAAGUUUUAAAAAAAACCGUUUUCCAAUUACCAUCUGAGUAGGAGUUGCCUUGGGGCAGUUUUCCUUAUCUGCUGUUAAUGGCCCCAUCAAUGCCUGAGAGAUAACACCGUCCAGGAGGAGGAGGUGAUUAAGGACACACCUUGUGACUCAUAAUGACCCAUUGUGAGAUGCUCUGCCCAAGGGGAGGAGCUAGGCAUUCCCACCUGGAUAAAACUGGAGAUUUCUACACAGAGGGGAGCCUUUCCAGAGGUUCUCUGAGAAGACACAGCAACUACAUCUGCCAUCCCAAGAGGACUGCAGCUACUCCAAUUUGGACUGCUACCAGCACGCUGGCCAGGUUGUAUUCUGACUUUGUCAGUAGCCUUUCCCUUUGUAUUAUUGCAUGUAUUUUUGUCCUUUUCCCCUUUUCCCAAUAAAUUGUAUUUCUGACUUGGAGUCUCUCACUGGUUUUGCUUUCAAACCAGAACACAGAGGGAAACACGGGCAGCGGGAGAGCGGCUGGGUGGUGGGCAGCAUCCUCCCAGAAGCCCUGCAGAGGUGCCAUGGGUUAAAUCUCCACCUCCAGUUUUGGGAAAGAGCUGGCAAACACUUUCACUUUGGACUUCUCAGUGACUGUGCUCUGGGAGAAGAUGAACCCCCACCCCAGUGUAGAGCCAAUGCAGAGCUGCUGCAACUCUUGCUUCCCAGCAUAGCUGGGCCAUGGCAUGGUUCUGCACAACCCUUUGUCUGGGUUUUGGAUGGGUCAAGAAACAGCUCUGUGACCCACUUCUUCCUGGACAGCCAGAUACAUCCUACUGCACCAGAGAGGAGCUUCCCUGCAGGAGGUAGAGGCUAUGGAUGUCCUGAGGUACCCUCCUGGGAUAUCUGAAAUUGCUUUUCCUGCUCACCUGUGGAAAGACCCUCAAAUCCAAGGGCAGGCAGAAAAGACCUUAUUAAUGAGUGCAAGGCCCUAGACUUCUCCCUGCUUGGAUGGAGCAGAAAUACAGUGAGGAGCAAAUGGUACCAAAAGUCCCACACCCUCAGAGUUGUCAGAGGGGAGACAGGCUCCCUGGUGGCUUCCAGAGAGAUCUCCUGCCCCUAUGAAAUCGAAGUUUAGCCAUUUACCCCAAUAAAACCCACAUAGAAGUUAGGGUCCUUGCUGAG